Molecule: long non-coding RNA, 8047 nt
Filed under: Equus caballus (horse)
Lineage: Eukaryota; Metazoa; Chordata; Mammalia; Perissodactyla; Equidae
Description: lncRNA (ENSECAG00000050124.1)
Source: RNAcentral
GGCAGGGGCCUGAUGGACUCCCAGGGAGGCAGGGUCCACUGUGAGCUGGCUCAGCUCCUUGUCCUGGCCCUUCCUUCCCGAAGGCAGAACAUCAGCUCUGGGAGGAGCGCACCCUGAGUGCUGUCUCUGCCCCACACCUGGCGGUCUCUGCCCCCCUGGGUCACAGGCUGCCACAGCCCAGCACCUGCAUUCUACAGACCCCUCCUGUCUCCUCCACUGCUGCUCGGCACCCACAUGUCAGGUCCUGGGCCUCAGGGAAGCUUUGAGCUCCAGGGAGCCAGAGUGGGAUGGCUAGCUUUAGGGAGCUAUUCUGUGACAUGUUGAUAAAUAUGGCAUAUAGUGUAUGUGUGUGUAUAUAUACAUAUAUAGAGAGAAAUAUUUAUAGAUUUACAGAAAGCUGCAGAUUGUACAGAAAGAUCCCAGGUACCCUUCACCCAUUUUGCCCCAGUGGUAACAUCUUGCAUCACUUACAGUACUGACACCAGGAAACCGACAUGGGCACAGUGGGUGUGUCUGAUUCUGUCUGGUUUUGUCAUUUUAUCAUGUGUACCUUCUCGUAACCAUCAGCACAAUCCAGGUGCAGAACUGCUCCAUUAUUACAAAGAUCUCCCUCAUGCUGCCCCCCCUGCCCCCCACUGUUCGUGCCCCUGGCAACCACCGGUCUGUUCUCCAUCUUGGGAGUUUUGUCAGUUCUACAAUGCUACAUGAAUGGAAUUUUUCCCACUCAGCAUCAUGCCCCUGAGAUCCAGCCAAGUUGUGUGUGUCAGUGGUUCUUUCUCUUUUAUUGUUAAGUAAGCUUCCAUAGUGUAAACAUACCACAGUUGUCCAUCCAUUCACCUUUGAGGAACAUUUUGGGUGUUUCCAGUUUUUUGGCCAUCACAAAUAAACUGCAGUGAACAGUUGUGCACAGGUUUUUGUGGGAACUUAAGUUUCGUUCUCUGGGAUGAUGAUCCAGGAGUGCCUGCUGGGUUGUACGGUACGUUUAUGUUUAGCUUUUAAGAACCUCUCAGACUGUCUUACGAGUGUGGCUGUACCAUGUACGUCCUCACCAGCACGUAUGAGAAAUCCACAUUCUUGCCAACAUUUGAUGAUGUCACUGUUUUCAUGUUAACCAGCUGUUCUAAUAGGUGAGUAGUUCAUUCAGGUUUUCAUUUGAAUUUCCCUAAUGGCGAGUGAUGUGGAACAUCUUUUCAUGUGCUUAUUUGCCAUCUGUGUAUUCUCUUUGGGCAAAUGUCUGUUCAUGUCUUUUGCCAGUUUUCUAUUUGGAUAGUUUGCUUUUUUUACUGUUAAGUUUUGAGAAUUCCGUAUGUGUUCUAUAAACAAGUCCUUUGUCAGAUAUGUGGUUUGCAAAUACAUUCUCCUGGUCUGUAGCUGUCUUUUCAUCCUCCUAACAGUAUCGCUAAGAGAGCAAAAGUUUUUAAUUUUGGUAAAGCUCAAUUUAUCAAAUGUGUGGUUUUAUGGAUUGUGCUUUUAGUGUCAUGUCUAAGAAUUCUUCACCAAGCCAUAGGUCCUGAAAAUUUUCUCCUAUGCUUCCUUCUACAAAUUUUGGAUUUUUACAUUUUACUUUUGAGUCUAUGCUGUGAUUGAUUUGAGUUCAUUUUUGUAUAAGGGAUGAAGUUUAGGUCAAGGUAUUUUUGUUCUUUUUUUGCUUAUGAAUGUCCAGUUGCUCUGGCACUUCUUGUCGAAGAGACUAUCCUUCUCCAUUAAAUUGAUUUUCACCUUUGUCAAAAUCAGUGAGUUGUGCCCGCGUAGGUCUAUCUGGGUCCUCUAUUCUGGUCCACUGAUCAUGUCUUUUCCUCCACCAAUACCACAGUCUUGAGGUGGAGUAUACUGAUUCCUCCCAUCUUAUUCCUCUUCAAAACGUUUUUAGCUGUCCUGUUCCUUUGCAUUUCCAUAUAAACUUUAGAAUACUCUUGUCUAUGUCUAUAAAAGAAAACUUUCUAGAAUUUCUAUGGGAAUUGUGUUAAACAAAUAUAUCAAUCUGAGGAUACUUGACAUCUUUGGUAUGUUGUGUCUUUCAAUCCAUGAGCAUGUUACGUAUCUCCAUUUAUUUAGUUCUUUGAUUUCUUUCAUCAGUGCUGUGUAGAUUUCAGCAUACAAAUCUUGUACAUGUUUUUUAGAUUUAUAUCUACAUUUUAAUAAUUGUAAAUGGUAUAUUUAAAAUUUCAGUUUCCAUGUGUUCAUUGCUAGUGUUUGGAAAUAGAAUUGAUUUUUGUAUGUUUAUCUUGUAUGCUGAAACCUCCCUGAAUUCAUGCACUACUUCUAAAAUGGUUUCUUUUUGUUUUGCUUUGUUUGUACAUUCACUGGAAUUUUCUACAUAGACCAUCAUACUGUCUACAAACAGGGACAAUUCUACUUUUCCCUUUCCAGUCUGUGUGCUCCCCCUCCUUUCUUGCCUUAUUGCAUUGGCUAAAACUUUCAGCACUGUGUUGAAUAAGAGUGGUGAGAGAAGUCAUCCUUGUCUUUGUGAUGACCUCUGGCAGAAAGUAUCCAGUCUUUCACCAUUUGACUAGGUGGUUACCUGUGGGUUUUUGUAAAUGCCCUUUGGUAGAUUGAGGAAGCUCUCUUCUAUUCCUACUUUGCUGAGUAUUUUUAUGAUGAAAUGGUGAUGGAUUUUGUCAAAUUUAUUUUCUGCAUCUAGUGAGAUGGUCACGUGGUUUUAAAAAAAAUUCUAUUGAUAUGGUAUAUUACAAUAAUUGAUUUUCAAAUGUUAAACCAAACUUGCUGAAUAUAAAAUUCUUAGUUGACAGUUUGUUUUCUUCCUACAUUUUAAAUAGGCCAUCCUACUACCUUACAAUGUCCCUGGUUUCUGAUGAGAAAUUGGAUGUUAAUUUUAUUGAGCAUCCCUUGUCCAUGACAAGGCAUUUCUCCCUUGUUGCUUUCAAGAUUCUUUCUUUGAUUAUAAUGUGUCUCAUCGUGAAUCUCUUCAAAUUCAUUCUACUUGGGAUUUGAUGAGCUUCUUAGAUAUAUUGGUUCAUGUCUUUUAUUAAAUUUGGGAAGUUUUUGGCUUUUAUUUCUUCAAGUACUCUUUUUGCGCCUUCUCUCUCUCUUCUUCUGGGACUCCCAUAAUGCAUAUGUUGGUACACUUGAUAGUGGUCCACAGAGCCUACAGGCGCUGUUCAUUGUUCUUAAUUUUUUUCUUCUGCUCCUCAAACUGAAAACUUUCAAUUGUUCUACUUUUACAUUUGCUGCUUCUUCCUCUCACCUGCUCAAAUAGCCUUUUGAACCUAUCUCUAGCAAAUUUUUCAUUGCCAAUAUUGUACUUUUCAGCUUAAGAAGAAUUAUUAUUUGGUUCCUUUUUAUAAUCUGUCUCCUUUGAUAUUCUUUAUUUGUUAAUUCAGUGUUGUCCUGGUUUCCUUUGGUUCUUUGCUCAUGGCUUCCUUUAGCACUGAGCAUAUUUAGGACAGUUCAUUUAAAGUCUUUGUCUAGUAAGUCUGAUGUCUGAGCUUCCUCAGGGACGGUUUCUGUCUGUUUCAUUUCUUUUUCUCUGAAUGGGCCAUACUUUCCUGUUCUCCAUAUGACUUAUAAUUUUUUUUGUUGAACCUUGGACACUUUGAAUACUAUAAUGUGGUAAUUCUGAAAAUCAGAUUCUCUCCCCUCCCCAGGAUUUGGUAUUGUUGACUGUUGAGUAUGACAGCCAUCCAUUUCUUUAAUGAUUUUUCCAAACUAUUUUUGCAAAGACUGUAUUCUUUUUGUGUGUGGUCACUGAAGUCUCUGUUCCAUUAUGUCAGUGGUCAGCCACCCACCAGACAGAGAUUUUCUUAAAUGCCUGGAGUCGGAAAGAAAAAAGAAACACUCCUAGUCUUUACGGAUUGCUUCUGAGCUAGGGCACUCCAACGCUAAGCUAGGCUGCCUUAACUCUGCUGUAGCCUUCGCUUCCUGCUUAUGCAGCACUCAAAGAUCAGCCAGAGGUGCAAGCUUAGGGUCCUGUGAGGUCAUUUCUGAGCUGUGGACAUGCAUGUUGCACUCCACGUUCCCUGGUAUACAUGAUUGCCCUUCAGAGCCCUUAUGUGCCCAAGAAUCUUCUUCCUUAGCAUCCCACUUCCCAGGCUUUUAAGUCUUUCUGCUGCUUUCCCUGUCCUCCAUCCCUUGCCCUCAUGGCUGUGGAUAGUGUAUGUCUUUAAGUGCUCUCAUUACAUACCUUCUAGGACAUUGCUCCAGCUUGAGGCAAGUGAAACAAAAGUCACCUUCUGUGCUGGUCCCUCAGGGAACCACCAGAUAGGUCAAAAUGCACAACUCCAGUUUUUUGAGAACAAGGUCCAUAUUUUCCCCUUGGCACCAGCAAGUCAUGCCAGAAAUGUGGGCCACUAUUUCCAUGGUCACCAGCAUGCUGGAGAAAUGGGGGAUCGUAGGAAGAUUUGCCCUGAGCUAUCAUCAGCUGCCAGUCUUCCUCUUUUUGUGUGUGAGCCUCCACCACAGCAUGGCUGCUAACAAACGAGUGUUGUAGGUCUGCACUUGGGAUCCAAACCUGGGCUACUGAAGUGGAGCACACCAAACUUAACCACUAGGUGACUGGGGCUGGCCCCAGAAAAUUUUAUUUAGUGAGUUUUGCUUCAGUGGAGGGACCAAUUCUUGGAGCUUGUACUGCAUCAUUUCUGUGGUAUCAUUCCUGCAUUCUCUUUUAAUUGUCCAGUUAUUGUUAUUUAAUCUCUAUAACUUACAUUUGGUUCUUUUAAAUAGUUUCUAUCUCUUUAUUGAUGGUCUCUAUUUGAUGUGGCAUUAUAAUCACACCUUCUUUUACUUCGUUUUUUUUUUAAAGAUUUGCACCUGAGCUAACAUCUGUUGCCAAUCUUCUUUUUUUUCCCUCUUCUUUAUCUCCGCAAAGCUCCCCAGGACAUAGUUGUACAUGCUACUUGUGAGUGCCUCUGGUUGUGCUAUGUGGGACACUGCCUCUGCGUGGGCUGAUGAGCGGUGCCAUAUCUUGUGCCCAGGAUCCAAACCGGCGAAACCCUGGGCCGCCAAAGCAGAGCCCAUGAACUCAACCACUCCGCCACAGGGCUGGCCACCUUAUUUUACUUAUUUAAUCAAGGGUUUAAAAAAUUUUUUGAACAUGUUUACAAUAGCUAAUUUGACAUCUUUGUUGAAUUUGACAUCUGGUUGCUCUCACAGGCAGUUUCUGUUGCCAGCUUUUAUCCCCUGGUGCAUCAGUCAUACUUUCUUGUUUGUUUAACUUUAACUUUCUUUGUCUUGUAAUUUUUUUGGGGAACUGGACAUUUUAGAUAAUACAAUGUAGGAAGUCUGGGUACUGGUUCCCCUUCCCCCUUCUGAGGCUUGUUAUUCUUAGUUGCUUGUUUAUUUGUUUAGUGACUGGCUGGAUUAUCUUAGGGGAGUGUACCUCCACCUCACCCUGUAGUAUUAUGCUUCUGAUGUUCUCCUCAGGGAGUGUAGCCUUAGGUUUGCCUACUAUCACCUUUGAUGAUGGUGGUUUUGACAGGGUUCUACUUAACAGCUCUUUCCCAGACCGUACCCAGCUGUGAAGCAUCACUAGGUGCUGACUGAUUGUUCCCUGUUUUCAACACUAUCCUGGGUCCUAAAUUGCUCCAAAGACUAAUCUAACCAAAUUUGGAAUCCUUUGAAGGGAUAGUUCCUGAGGUCAGUGAUUGAGAUUUGUUCUGACCUUAGGAGGGCUCCCCACCACUCCCCCUUCUCUCAGAAAACUGUCUGGCCUAUAUAUCCACCUAUAUCUCCAAUGAAUCUAUCCUUCUCCCCCUAACUGCCUUUUGCGACAACUUCCACUGCUUUUGAAAGUGUUGGGACUUCUCCAUACUCUAUUGAAAGUGAAGUCAGUUACUUUAGGAACAGAUUAGGCUCUAUUUGUUUUAUGACUUGCUUCUCUCCUCAGGCAAAAAUCUCUGAGCCAGGACUCUGAAUGUGGGGUGGGGACAAUGGUGCCUUUUGUUGUUGAGAUGUAUGAGUUAUUUAUAUAUUUUGGAUAUUAACACCUUAUCAUGUAUGUCAUUUGCAAAUAUCUUCUCCCAAUUGUUAGGUUGUCUUUUCAUUUUGUUGAUGGUUUCAUUUGCUGUGCAGAUUUUCAGUUUGAUGUAGUCCAAUUUAUUUUUUCUAUUGUUUCCCUUCCCUGGUCAGACAGGAUACUUGAAAAUAUGCUGCUAAGACCAAUGUCAAAGAGCAUACUGCCUAUGUUUUCUUCUAGAAAUUUCAUGGUUUCAAGUCUUAUAUUCAAGUGUUUAUGGUGUAAGACAAUGGUCUACUUUCAUUCUUUUGCAUGUGGCUGUCCAGUUUUCCCAACACCAUUUAUUGGAGAGACUCUCCUUUCUCCAUUGUAUGUUCUUGCCUCCCUUGUUGAAAAUUAGCUGUCCAUAGAUGUGUGGGUUUAUUUUUGGGCUUUCAAUUUUGUUCCAUUGAUCUGUGUGUCUGUUUUUGUGCCAGUACCAUGCUGUUUUGGUUACUAUAGCUUUGUGGUGUAUUUUGAAGUCAGGGAGUGUGAUACCUCCAGCUUUGUUCUUUUUUCUCAGAGUUCCUAUCGCUAUUCAGGGCCUUUUGUUGUUUCAUAUAAAUUUUAGGAUUCUUUGUUCUAUUUCUGUGAAAAAUGUCAUUGGAACUUUGAUCACAAUUGGAUUGAAUCUGUAGAUUGCUUUAGGAAAUAAGAGCAUUUUAACUAUGUUAAUUCUUCCAAUCUAAGAGCAUAGAAUAUAUUUCCAUUUCUUUCAACAAUGUUUUUUUUCCCUACUUUAUCUCCCCAAAUCCCCCCAGUACAUAGUUGUAUAUUUUAGUUGUGGGUCCUUCUAGUUGUGGCAUGUGGGACACCACCUCAGCAUUGCCUGACGAGUGGUGCCGUGUCCGUGCCCAGGAUCUGAACCAGUGAAACCCUGGGCUGCCAAAGCGCAGCACGCGAACUUAACCAUUUGGCACAGGGCCAGCCCCUCAACAAUGUUUCAUAGUCUUCAGCGUACAUGUCUUUCACCUCUUUCCUCAAGUUUAUUCCUUGGUAUUUUAUUCUUUUUGUUAUAAUUGUAAAUGGGAUUAUAUUCUUAAUUACUCUUUCUGCUACUUUGUUGUUAGUGUAUAGAAAUGCAACUGAUUUUUGUAUGUUAAUUUUGUAUCCUGCAAUUUUACCAAAUUCAUUAUUUAUUUCCAAAACUUUUUGGUGGAGUCUUUAGGGUUUUCUAUAUAUAAAAUCAUGUCAUCUGCAAAUAGUAAUAGUUUAACUUCUUCCUUUCCAAUUUGAAUCCCUUUUAUUUCUUUUUCUUGCCUGAUUACUCUGGCUAGGCCUUCCCAUACUAUGUUAAAUAAGAGUGGUGACAGUGGGCAUUCUUCUCUGGUUCCUGUUCUUAAAGGGAUAGCUUUCAGUUUUUCUCCAUUGAGAAUGAUAUUAGCUGUGGGUUUGUCAUAUAUGGCCUUUAUUUUGUUGAGUUACUUUCCUUCUGUACCCAUUUUAUUCAGAGUUUUCAUCAUAAAUAGAUGCUGGAUCUUGUCAAGUGCUUUCUCUGCAUCUAUUGAGAUGAUUAUGUGAUCAUCUCAAUUUUAUUCUUUAUUUUGUUAAGGUGAUGCAUCACAUUGAUUUGCAGAUGUUGAGCCAACCCUGCAUCUCUGGAAUAAAUCCCACUUGACCAUGGUGUAUGAUCUUUUUAAUGAAUUGUUGUACUUGAUUUGCUAGUAUUUUGUUGAAGAUUUUUGCCUUGAUGUUCAUCAGUGAUAUUGGCCUGUAAUUUUCUUUUAUUGUAUUAUCUUUGUCUGGUUUUGAUAUCAAGGUAUCAUUGGCUUUGUAGAAUGAGUUGGAAGCUUCCCUUCCUCUUCAAUUUUUUAGAAUAGCUUGAGAAGGAUAAGUAUUAAGUCUUCUUUGAAUGUUUGGUAGAAUUCACCAGGGAAGCCGUCUGGUCCUGGAUUUUUACUUUUUGGGAGGUUUUUGAUUAUUGUUUUGAUCUCCUUACUGGUGAUCAGUCUUUUAAAAUUCUGUAUUUCUUCUUGAUUCAGUAUUGGAAGGUUGUAUGAUUCUAUGAAUUUAUCCAUUUCUUCUAGAAUAUUCAAUUUGUUGGGAUGUAGCUUUUCAUAGUAUUCUCUUAUAAUCUUUUGUAUUUCUGAAGUGUCC